RNAcentral lists this ribosomal RNA (1507 nucleotides) under uncultured bacterium. RNAcentral describes it as "bacterial SSU rRNA". It matches the Rfam family "Bacterial small subunit ribosomal RNA". The record is from RNAcentral.
AGAGUUUGAUCCUGGCUCAGGACGAACGCUGGCGGCGUGCCUAACACAUGCAAGUCGAACGGAGAUAUAUCGAAGAGUAAUCAGAGAUAUAUUUUAGUGGCGGACGGGUGAGUAACGCGUGGGCAACCUGCCUUUCACAGGGGGAUAACACAGGGAAACUUGUGCUAAAACCGCAUAACAUUACAGCAAGGCAUCUUGCAGUAAUCAAAGGAGCAAUCCGGUGAAAGAUGGGCCCGCGUCCAAUUAGCUGGUUGGUGAGGUAAUGGCCCACCAAGGCGACGAUUGGUAGCCGAACUGAGAGGUUGAACGGCCACAUUGGGACUGAGAUACGGCCCAGACUCCUACGGGAGGCAGCAGCUAAGGAUCUUCCGCAAUGGGCGAAAGCCUGACGGAGCGACGCCGCGUGGACGAUGGAGGCCGUGAGGUUGUAAAGUCCUUUUCCGUGGGGUGAAGAGCCGUGCCAGGGAAUGGGUGCGGGGUGACGUGACCACGGGAAUAAGCCCCGGCUAACUACGUGCCAGCAGCCGCGGUAACACGUAGGGGGCGAGCGUUGUUCGGAAUCAUUGGGCGUAAAGGGCGCGCAGGCGGCUGCGGGAGCCCGGCGUGAAAUCCACAGGCCCAACCUGUGGGGGUCGCCGGGGACUCCGCGGCUGGAGUCCAGGAAGCGGUUCAGGAAUUCCCGGUGUAGGGGUGAAAUCUGUAGAUAUCGGGAAGAACACCAAUGGCGAAGGCGUGGGCCGGGCCAUGGACUGACGCUGAGGCGCGAAGGUGCGGGGAGCGAACAGGUUUAGAUACCCUGGUAGUCCGCACAGUAAACGAUGUGCACCAGGUGGCGGGGGGCUGACCCCCGGUACCGGAGCGAACGCAGUAAGUGCACCGCCUGGGGAGUAUGCCCGCAAGGGUGAAACUCAAAGGAAUUGACGGGGGCCCGCACAAGCGGUGGAGCAUGUGGUUUAAUUCGAUGAUACGCGAGGAACCUUACCAGGGCUUGACAUGCGCCGGGAGGGGGCUGCGAGGCCUCCGCCCUUCGGGGCCGGCGCACAGGUGCUGCAUGGCUGUCGUCAGCUCGUGCUGUGAAGUGUUGGGUUAAGUCCCGCAACGAGCGCAACCCUUGCUAUUAGUUGCUAACAGAAGAUGAGCACUCUAAUGGGACUGCCGGUGACAAGCCGGAGGAAGGUGGGGAUGACGUCAAAUCAUCAUGCCCUUUAUGACCUGGGCAACACACGUGCUACAAUGGGCGGUACAGAGAGCAGCAAGACCGCGAGGUGGAGCGAAUCUCAAAAAGCCGUUCACAGUUCGGAUUGUAGUCUGCAACUCGACUACAUGAAGUCGGAAUCGCUAGUAAUCGCGAAUCAGCAUGUCGCGGUGAAUGCGUUCCCGGGCCUUGUACACACCGCCCGUCACACCACGAAAGUCGGCAACACCCGAAGCCGGCGAGCUAACUAGCAAUAGAGGCAGCCGUCGAAGGUGGGGUUGGUAAUUGGGGUGAAGUCGUAACAAGGUAACC